AUCGCCAUCUUGGUUUUGGUGGGUUUUGGACAGCUUCUUUACGCAUGCUGUUUUAUCAGCAAGGUCUUUGUGACCUGUAUCUUGUGCCGACCUCCUAUCUCAUCCUGUGACUAGGAAUGCCUUAACCUCCUGGAAUGCAGCUCACCAGCCCUCCAUGAAUGAGGAACUUCCUGGGGCCACUAGUGCAUGCUGCAGCUCACACAGUCAACUCCAUCCACACCUCCACAAACAGCUGCCCUUUGGCCACUACUCAGGCGUAAGGACACACCCAGCAGGGUAUGCCCUCUGGAGGUCAGACCAGGGAAGAAGCCCUUGCACAGUCAGGAGCCAGCUCAGCACCUGUGAUGCUGAAUUCUAUGUGGCAACUUGACUGGACGCAGGUGCUCGGAUUAAACCUGAUUUCUGGAUCACAGUCUGGAAGUCUGCUCACAGUCUCAAGGUUGGCAUAUCCCCUAGAGCCCCCAGACUCCUCAUCCCAUGGAGACCAACAUGGCCAGGGGAGGGCCAGAGCAGGGCCUUCUAAAUCACAGACCCCAGGGCAGGAGCCCCUCCGGUCUGGAUCUAAGGAUGGUAUUUUCAACAAUUCCUAAAUUUUUAUCCUAGGCUCUCCAAAUGGGAGUCUAAAGGUCUCAAAACAUGGUCCAGAAGAAGUAUGCAAAAAUGUAAAUUCCUAGGCCCCAACCCAGACCUAUGAAUCAGAUGAUCUGUAUGGGGGUUCAAGGAAUCUAUAUUAUUAAACAAUCUUCCUAAAUGACUUGUAUUCAUACUAAAGCUUGAGAAUUGCUAUCAAACAGCUAGAAGUUGGAGUGAAGGGUCCUGCCUUUCCCAUGAAAUUCAUCAACUCUAUGCCCUCAAAAGCUGGGCUCUUGGAUGAGCUGCUCUCCAUUCUAGAGACAUUACCAGCUAGGUAGCCUGCUGGUCCUCAGGAAGUUAAGCCCAGACUCUUCAGCACAGAAUCAGAUAAACACUGAUUACAUUGUACUCUACAGUUCUGAGAACACCAUUACUUAAUUCCCGGCAAGUUGCAAUGUAAUUGAGUAGGUUGUAGUUUUUUGGGUUUGGGGUUUUUUUGUUUUUUAAAUAUAUCAGGCGUAGUUAGCCAGCUUCCUAGAAACACCAUGAUCUCUUGGUGAAAAUUCCAGAAAUAUGCAUCACUUCCUAAUUAAAGUAGGGAAUUUUUAAAAAUUAUUAAACCACAUGCUUUCUAA
RNAcentral lists this long non-coding RNA (1208 nucleotides) under Homo sapiens (human). RNAcentral describes it as "long intergenic non-protein coding RNA 2577". Lineage: Eukaryota; Metazoa; Chordata; Mammalia; Primates; Hominidae. The record is from RNAcentral.